This 492-nucleotide ribosomal RNA is filed under the name uncultured Corynebacterium sp. Its description in RNAcentral is "partial 16S ribosomal RNA". Lineage: Bacteria; Bacillati; Actinomycetota; Actinomycetes; Mycobacteriales; Corynebacteriaceae. The record is from RNAcentral.
CACGUAGUUAGCCGGUGCUUCUUAUCUACCUACCGUCACCACAAGUGGCUUCGUCGAUAGCGAAAGGAGUUUACAACCCGAAGGCCUUCAUCCCCCACGCGGCGUCGCUGCAUCAGGCUUGCGCCCAUUGUGCAAUAUUCCCCACUGCUGCCUCCCGUAGGAGCCUGGGCCGUAUCUCAGUCCCAAUGUGUCCGUACACCCUCUCAGGCCGGAUACCCGUCGCCGCCUUGGUAGGCCAUUACCCCACCAACAAGCUGAUAGGCCGCAGGCUCAUCCCACACCGCAAAAGCUUUCCACCACACCAUCCAAGAUGCGGUCCUAUAUGGUAUUAGACCCAGUUUCCCAGGCUUAUCCCACAGUGCAGGGCAGAUCACCCACGUGUUACUCACCCGUUCGCCACUCGAGUACUUCUAGCAAGCUAGAGGCCUUUCCGUUCGACUUGCAUGUGUUAAGCACGCCGCCAGCGUUCAUCCUGAGCCAGGAUCAAACUCU